Molecule: long non-coding RNA, 310 nt
Filed under: Ananas comosus (pineapple)
Lineage: Eukaryota; Viridiplantae; Streptophyta; Magnoliopsida; Poales; Bromeliaceae
Description: long non-coding RNA (ACOM_LNC017718)
Source: RNAcentral
GCGUCGAACAGACGCUGAACGGACAGAGCCUCCCCUGUUCGUCUAAGGCUCAACAACCUGUACAAAUAGAGUACCAACUUGCACAUGCGGAAACAAACAUAAUGGCUUGCACGAGGACAAACAAUAGCCAAAGUGAAAGAGCUAACUAAUCACAUACAAGUACUAUGAUUAAAUUUAAAUCGCAGAUUUAAACACUUACAUUCUUUUUCAUCAUUUUUUUUACAUCUCAUAUCUCCAAAAUAUAACAUUUGAUAUUAAGUAAAUUCUUUUACAUCAUUCAUGUCCUUUCAUAUAACAACUAUAAUCAUCG